This 334-nucleotide unclassified non-coding RNA is filed under the name soil metagenome. Its description in RNAcentral is "partial contains 5.8S ribosomal RNA, internal transcribed spacer 2, and large subunit ribosomal RNA". The stretch from base 1 to 120 matches the Rfam family "5.8S ribosomal RNA", at positions 35 to 154 of the family's 154-position model. The record is from RNAcentral.
GAUGAAGAACGCAGCGAAAUGCGAUAAGUAAUGCGAAUUGCAGAUCUCCGUGAGUCAUUGAAUCUUUGAACGCACAUUGCGCCCGCCAGCACUCUGGCGGGCAUGCCUGUUCGAGCGUCAUUUCAACCAUCAAGCCCCAGGCUUGCGUUGGAGCCCUGCGGCUGCCGCAGCCUCCUAAAAGCAGUGGCGGGCUCGCUAUCACACCGAGUGCAGUAGAUUACUCUUCGCUCAGGGCGUGCAGCGGGUUCCGGCCGUGAAACCCCCUACUUUUAAAGGUUGACCUCGGAUCAGGUAGGAAUACCCGCUGAACUUAAGCAUAUCAAUAAGCGGAGGA